Molecule: ribosomal RNA, 193 nt
Filed under: Ditylum brightwellii
Lineage: Eukaryota; Bacillariophyta; Thalassiosirophyceae; Lithodesmiales; Lithodesmiaceae
Description: partial Bacterial small subunit ribosomal RNA
Rfam family: Bacterial small subunit ribosomal RNA
Source: RNAcentral
UCCUUGAUUCAGCGGCGGACGGGUGAGUAAUGCCUAGGAAUCUGCCUGGUAGUGGGGGACAACGUUUCGAAAGGAACGCUAAUACCGCAUACGUCCUACGGGAGAAAGCAGGGGACCUUCGGGCCUUGCGCUAUCAGAUGAGCCUAGGUCGGAUUAGCUAGUUGGUGGGGUUAUGGCUCACCAAGGCAAUGAU